RNAcentral lists this ribosomal RNA (726 nucleotides) under Ditylenchus halictus. RNAcentral's name for it is "eukaryotic LSU rRNA". It matches the Rfam family "Eukaryotic large subunit ribosomal RNA", at positions 378 to 944 of the family's 3401-position model. The record is from RNAcentral. Lineage: Eukaryota; Metazoa; Nematoda; Chromadorea; Rhabditida; Anguinidae.
GAAGAGAGAGUUAAAGAGCACGUGAAACCGAUAAGAUUGAAACGGAUAGAGCCGACGUAUCUGGCCUGUGUUCAGCCGGUUGGUCGUCUUAUGUUGGCUUGCUAAUCCGGCUUUUGAUUAGUUAGCUAGCGCUAAUGCGGCUAUACUGGUGCACUUGCAGCUGGCUGCGCCGAAGCUCGUACUAUGCAUUUGCUGAAUUUUUGUUUAGAGGCCUCAACAGGUUGGGAAACUUAAACUUCAAUAAAGCUGUGUAUAGUACGCCAGCUAUUGUUCCACGACUAACAGUUUAGCUUGCGAUUGGUUCUUACUUGGAUUAUGGUCGCAUGUGACUGUGUUUCGGUGGCAACUAGUUGUUGGUUAAGCUUCGUGGAAAGCUUAGGUGUAAAAGUCUGUCAUCUAUCCGACCCGUCUUGAAACACGGACCAAGGAGUUUAACGAGUGUGCAAGUUAUUGAGUCUAAAAACUUAGUAGCGCAAUGAAAGUAAAAGCUUUGUUGACAAGCUUAUAUGCGAUCCCUUUCGUUUCGACUAUUGGGAGUAGCAUAGCCCCGUCUCGACUGCUCGCAGUGGGGCGGAGGAAGAGCAUACUCGUUGAGACCCGAAAGAUGGUGAACUAUGCCUGAGCAGGACGAAGCCAGAGGAAACUCUGGUGGAAGUCCGAAGCGGUUCUGACGUGCAAAUCGAUCGUCUGACUUGGGUAUAGGGGCGAAAGACUAAUCGAACUAUC